RNAcentral lists this ribosomal RNA (499 nucleotides) under uncultured bacterium. RNAcentral's name for it is "partial 16S ribosomal RNA". It matches the Rfam family "Bacterial small subunit ribosomal RNA", at positions 28 to 507 of the family's 1533-position model. The record is from RNAcentral.
GACGAGCGCUGGCGGCGUGCCUAAUACAUGCAAGUCGAGCGAAGUUUUUCUGGUGCUUGCACUAGAAAAACUUAGCGGCGAACGGGUGAGUAACACGUAAAGAACCUGCCUCAUAGACUGGGACAACUAUUGGAAACGAUAGCUAAUACCGGAUAACAGCAUUAACUGCAUGGUUGAUGUUUAAAAGUUGGUUUUGCUAACACUAUGAGAUGGCUUUGCGGUGCAUUAGCUAGUUGGUGGGGUAAAGGCCUACCAAGGCGACGAUGCAUAGCCGACCUGAGAGGGUGAUCGGCCACACUGGGACUGAGACACGGCCCAGACUCCUACGGGAGGCAGCAGUAGGGAAUCUUCCGCAAUGGGCGAAAGCCUGACGGAGCAACGCCGCGUGAGUGAAGAAGGAUUUCGGUUCGUAAAGCUCUGUUGUUAGGGAAGAAUGAUUGUGUAGUAACUAUACACAGUAGAGACGGUACCUAACCAGAAAGCCACGGCUAACUACGUG